UUCCAACCACGAUACUGAAAAAACCAAAGCCCAGUCUAGCCAUUUAAAGAGAACACAUGGAAGUAAACCAAGAACCCAGCCAAUAUCCCCGGUUGACUGAAACUAUGGAAAGUGAAAUCAUAGAUAAGAAAGGACUACUGUGGGCUGGGCGCAGUGGCUCACGCCUGUAAUCCCAGCACUUUGGGAGGCCAAGGCAGGUGGAUCACAAGGUCAGGAGUUUGAGACUAGCCUCACUAACACAGUGAAACCCUGCCUCUACUAAAAAUACAAAAAUUAGCCGGCCUUGGCGGCGCAUGCCUUUAAUCCCAGCUGCUCAGGAGGCUGAGGCAGGAGAAUCCCUUGAACCUGGGAAGCGGAGGUUGCAGUGAGCCGAGAUCACGCCACUGCACUCCAGCCUGGGCAACGUAUCAAGUCUCCAUCUCAAAAAAAAAAAAAAAAAAAAAAAGACGGGACUACUGUGUAUACCAUGACCAAGUGGGAUUUAUCUCAGAAAAGCAAGGACGGCUUAAAAUACGAAAAUCAAUCCAGGUAAAACAUCAUAUUAACAGAAUGAAGUCUAAAAAAAAAAAAAGGAUCAUCUUAGUAAAUGCAGAGAAGAGCAUUUGACAAAGUCCAACUGUCUUUCGUGAUAAAAGCACUCAGCUAGGAACAGAAGGAAACAUCCUCAGCCCAAUGAAAGACAUCUGCACGAUUCUCAGAAAUUGACAAGAUGAUCCUAAAAUUUAUCUAGAUACACAUGGGACACAGAACAGCCAAGACAAUUUUGAAAAAUAAGAAUGAAGGAUUCAUACUUCUUGAUUUCAAAACUGACUACAAAGCUGCAGUAAUUAACACUGUGUGAGACUGGCAUAAGGAUAUGCAUAUAGAUUGAUAAAAUAAAACUGAGAAGCCCUUGAGAAAUAAA
Long non-coding RNA from Gorilla gorilla gorilla (western lowland gorilla), 904 nucleotides. RefSeq lists it as uncharacterized. The transcript has 3 exons. Lineage: Eukaryota; Metazoa; Chordata; Mammalia; Primates; Hominidae. The record is from RefSeq and is a predicted model, not a curated record.